Molecule: long non-coding RNA, 5190 nt
Organism: Gasterosteus aculeatus aculeatus (three-spined stickleback)
Lineage: Eukaryota; Metazoa; Chordata; Actinopteri; Perciformes; Gasterosteidae
Source: Ensembl
UUUAACGAAAGCAAUAGCGGCAGUUAAUUGGCCGAUUAUUCAACACAGUUAAAUGAAAUCACUCCCAGUGAAAAUAACUUCUGGUGGUUCUAGUUUCAGUGCUUCAAACUAGAACAAUGAGCAAACCCAGGUGUUAAAUAUCCGUGCAGAUGAAAGCAGGGAGCACUCUGUGUGUGCCAAUGGGUAAAAAACCCUUACGUCAGGUCUUCAACAGGGGGUCCGCGAAGGUACUGCAGGGGGGGUCGCGAAAUUUUUGGUUGAUAGGACAAUUUUUAUUAACAAUGUUUUUCCCCCACAAAUGUAAAUGUCUUCAGAAUCAGAAUUUUAUUUAUGGUCUUUAAAUACACAUUACAUGAAUCCAACAUAUUGAAGCGAACGGAUAAAUUGAUGGAGAAGACAUUAUCUGUCAGUCCGCAACACACACAUUCAGCUUCCCUCAGCAGCUCUCAAGCUGGGCACCGGUUCACUCACAGCUCCUUUCAUGCGAAUAUGACAGCGCCGGCACCAGCCAAUCAGAUCGCGUUUAUGCUCACGUCUAAAGAGCGUGAAGCUCAAAAAUAAAAGAUGGCGGACCAAAUUCCGUAGAAUAGGGGGUCCAGCUCCACCUCGCCAUCAGUUUGGGGGACCUUGGCUUGAAAAACGUUGACCUCUGCCUUACGUAAUUAUGUUAAAUAUCCAAAUCGCUGUAAAAAUCCGAGUGCGCAAAUCCAGUUCAUGCAUGUGCGUAAGUGAAACAUUCAUGCGCAAAAGUCCUUCCUACGUUCUGGUGUUGCAAUGACACAAUUCAACUCCGACACUUUCUCUGCGACUGUUUUAAUAUAUGCGGCCACAUCCCUUUUAACACAACCUCAAAUCCAGAUCCAAACCACAUUCCUUACACCUCUGCAUGCAGAAUCCUAUAAAAGAGAACAGGAUAAUUAGCAUACAUCCCACUAAACACAAAUGACAGUGAAAAAGCAUUAAGCAUACAGACUAUUACUUACUAUCAUACAGAGGUUUCCUCCAUAGCCUUGGUGAUACUGAGCCAAACUAUAAAGGAUGAGAUACAUGUAUUAGAGAAGUGAAAUGCUAAAAUACUCCAAAUGUCACAGGGAAGUCGAUGUUUAAAAAAAAAAACGUACCCUCAGAAACAUGCGCCGCUUUAGCUAACGCAAGUUAACGUUAGCUAAAGCGGGGUUAACUGACAGGGACUGACUGACUGACUUACUAACCUUUGGUCAUGAUGCUAAACACGCUCAGCUAACUAGCUUGAAUGCUGCCCAAUCGGACUUUAGUAAAAUGGAGCAGAAUUUCCCUGGUUUAACUUUUUAACAACGUUUCACAACUUUUUAUUAUUAACAAGCGUUAUUGAACAACGUAACAAAAAUACAGUUAACGUUACUUACCAAAUAAUGGAUUUCUACCAGAGCCAGAAAAAAGUAUGAUGCAGCCAAUUUCAGUCAGCAAAAAAAUGCAGAACGACGCUAAAGGCGCAGAAUGUGGCACAUGCGCAAAGCAUAGUCAUUGAUUAAUUAAUUUAUUUGAGUUGACACAGUUUCAGAAGUGAAACUAUAAAAACCAUUUUAAGUUGCUGCUAUUGAUUAUAUAUGUUCACCUUUUUAAUAGAUGUAUUCAAAUGAAGCAAACACCAUUUAAACUUGUCACAUCUAAGAAGGGCUUGAAUCGUUUUUUUUAGUGUAGCGCGUGUAAAUAUGCAGAAUGAGUAGACCUCCAGGCAACACUCUGGAGCUCUUGUCAGACGUAGAAUCAACUGAUGAAACCGUUGACCACCGGUGCGGGAGGAGUGUCAGUCCAAACUCUAUCAGCCAACCCGUUGCCAAAUACAAAAUGUACACCUUCAAUUUGCAGCUACACCUUUUUUGCAAAGGAAGGAAGAAUCUUCAAUCCCAUCCCACGACUGAAUCACCAGUCUCAGUCGCUUUGGACAAAGGCAAAACCGAUAUAAAUCAUAGGCACCCAUCUUCACCUCACUUCCCAAAAGUGACACAAAUCCACCUCGAUUGAACGGAACACCGAGGUCACAAGAGUUUGAUGGAUGCUGUUUUGCAACACAGCAGUCAUUAACUGGGGCAGCAAAGGCAGCAGGCCUGACAUUAGUUCUUACAUCUCAGUUUAAAUAAGAAAAGAUCUUGGAUGUUGUGAUGCAUAUCGACAUGUUGUCCGCCCAUGAUGUUACCUUACUUGGAUGUGGAAUGGUCAAAACACCAUUUUUAACAAGAUUUUCAGUCGAAUGUUGCCAUUCCAAAGCCAUUUUUACACCACUACUCAGCGUGCACCGGAAGUUCUUUGCAGAAACAGGAAGUAGACCGGAAGUGCCCGGGAAACUUGUCUAUAUGAACCCGCAUAAAUACGGCCCCGAGCGCAUUAACUCAGAGACAGAAGUGAUGAGCGCGACAUUCUAAAGUUUUCAUGCCAUUCUUCCGGGAGGACGUGUUCUUUUUCGAAGUUUUCCCACCAGACAGCGGUUCGCCCUGGUCGGUUCCAAAACUUUCGGCGGGGACGUUGGCAGGCAAUGUACCUAUGUCUUGGGAGUGUAGAAAGCUGAAGAAGAACUGCUGACCUCCAUGCAGUUCUUCGCCUCUGCUCCUCGAUGUAAAAAAUCAGUUGUUUGUAAAUAGAAACAGGCCAAAAGGGUUUGCAUUAAUGCACAAAUAAGCACUACCAUGACACCAUCCAUGAUCAGUAGCCUAAGAAAACUAAAAAACUUUAAACAUAGGACGCUCACAUGACGUGAAGCAUUUUUAGUUGCACACUGUGACGUUUGACAACCUAGAACUCCGCUUGACCUAGUUCACACGCAAACACAAAGACGGAGUUUUCAGAAAUCUCCACUUUGGCCCGGAGUUUUUAGAAAUGAUCGUUUUCCAUGAUAAAACCUCUGUUUGUGUGUAAAUGAAAGACCAAAACACAUGAAAAUAUAAACGUUUUCCCGUCGUGUAAACGAGGUCUUAGAUUGACAACUCUUUAGGUUCAUGUUUUCAACCCCACGCCGUAUUAGAUCGGGUUAAUGUGUGUAAUGCAGUAACUCGCCAAGUUUAAUGUGAUAUCGUGACUCAUAGAAAUCACGUUCGAUUAUUAACCGUGAUUGUACCUUUUUUUUUUUUUUUUUUCUUAAAUAAUUUUGUGAUAUUUAAGAUUUUCGAAAGAGGCUGGUUAGCAAUUACACGUAUUAUUUUCAUUAUCUCUUCAGUUUUUGCUGCUAUCUUGCCCAAAUGUGCUUGUUUAAACAAGUAUAUUGGGAUUCAUACUACCUGUCCCCGGUAUACGCAUACGAUGAGAACGUUUUUUGUAUCCGGAUUGUAAGCUUUUGUAAACGUCAAUGUUUUUGAUGGAUUUUGACCUUGGCCAGUCUUGCGCUCUCUACCUCUCCAUAUGCAAAAAAACCUGUCUUGUUAUCCCUUUUAUCACAAACCACUGUCCUAUGAUCCGGUGCCACGGAUCCAGAUAUAUUUUCUUGUAUUCUGGUCUGCUGUCCCCCCACUCUCUGCCCUGUAUCUCCCCUAACGCCAACUCAGAAAACAUUAAAAUUGAGCAGAGAGGGGAAACUGAGAAGACUGGAGGUCCUGGUGUAAUAAUAAUAAUAAUAAAUUGGUUUUAUAUAGCGCUUUUCUAAAUGUCUCAAAGACGCUUUAACAUAGUUGAAGGGGGGACGGUGUGAGGCAGACAGGCAGGAGACAAGACACGAGGGCCGACGUAUACGGUCCGAUCUGGUGUACUAUUGCACACUUUUUUCCCAACAGAAGCGUAGGAUAAGUUGCUAAGAAUGUGCACUGCUUCAUUGUUUAGGCAAGAGGACUUUUUUUUAGGACAAAGCUUUAGUGGUGGUUGACGUCAUAUUAAAAUAUAUUACAUGCAAACAAACUCACACCUGCAUUGGUGAACGUCAUAUGCUAGUACCCAAACCUUGCUCUAAAUAUCCAACUGAAAUAUAUUUUGCAAAAAUGAGUGCUACAGAGUUUUCUCAUAAACCCUCAGGGCCAAAGCCAAAGUUCUAAAUAAAACUUACUUACUUUGUCGGUAAAGGGACAUGGUUGGUCUCAUUUGGCGUUUGAAAUCAGCUCCAUAAUUUGAUCUUUGUAAAACCUGCGUCUCUUCAGGUGUUUGGCAGGAGGAAUGGUAGCCUCAGGGCUUGGAGCUACCGUGAGGCCCCGCCGAGAUUUCCCAUCAUCCCCACAGUCUGGCAGCAGCUUUUCAAACAGCGCCCCUUCUGAAGUUGCCCUUGGUUCUACAUGUGUAGCAGUAAUUAUGAAUGAGGGGGACUAAGAUCUGUACAAAACCAUCAAACAUUUUACAGCUUGCUGCUAUUGUAAUAAAAGAUCAAUAGACACGGUAUCAGUCAUGGUUUUGAAGGAGAGGUGCUGCUGUACAUUUCCCUCGCAUACUUCUUUUCGUUCAUGUCCCCUCUCAUUUCUCUUUUUCUUCUCUCUCUCUCUCUCUCUCUCUCCCCAUACAGAGCCAGUGUAGCACAUCCGUUUUAAUUGCCGUUUGCAGGGCUCUGAUGUGAGCUGCUGAAAGACACCCAUCCUACAAAAGAACAGGAGAGAGCCCCUGAAAUACGUUCACUGCAGCUCUAACUAGUUCUAUGGCGAGGGCCAAGGCCACACUUCAAGCACAAGCAGAGAUGGAAGCCACAGAAGCGUCAGAUCAAACAGUCUUCGGUCUGACGAGGGAAGAUAAAGAGGCUGUCAGCCUCCCCUCAGAACAAAGCCGCCCCUCACCUCUCAGCUCCCUGACGGCCGGCGGUGCAGCGGUAAAUCAAAAAGCCUCCUGUUCCCAGAACUACGACCAAUGUCGGUCGGCCCAUUUUCCUCAGAUGCGAGCUGAAGGGUCACUGACGCUGCAUGACUGAGAAGAAGGACCCGACGUGACUUUUGAUUCUCUCUCGGACCACUGAUUAUGCUUUGAUUUUGGCAUUCAUUUUGGCAAAGAAUACAUCAUGUGACACUUUGAUCUCCACCAGACAUUAGAGAACCUGCUCAUGCACCAGGACUUUGUAGGCGUGAUGCUUUUCAGCUGCGACUUGUCGUCACACAGACAAAGUCUGACUGAUGGGACUUUAUCUGCAAUGCCUCUUUCAUAGUGGAGUUACAUUUGCUGCCUUGUCAGUAAGUGAUUAAUGGAUUCAAAAGAACAUGAUGGCUGGGAUAUCAAACUGUGUACUGAACAGAGAAUAUAGAUUUUCUGCUGAGC